Molecule: ribosomal RNA, 295 nt
Filed under: Palmallorcus punctulatus
Lineage: Eukaryota; Metazoa; Arthropoda; Insecta; Hemiptera; Issidae
Description: partial small subunit ribosomal RNA
Source: RNAcentral
UGUCUAGGUAGUAAAUUUUAAUUUGAAAUUUAAUGGAUCUGGCGGUUAUUAAAUCUUUUUAGAGGAACCUGUAAUUUAAAUGAUAGUCCACGAUUUUUAUUACCUUAAUUUUCUUGUAUAUCUCUGUCGUUGAAUGUAGUGAAAAUUAAUUUUCUUUUUUUUUAUUAAAUUUAUGUUAGGUCAAGGUGCAGUUAUAUUAAGGUUAUUAUGGGUUACAUUAACUUUUGUUUGUGGAUUUUUUUUUUGUGAUUUAUUUGAAUUUGGAUUUAAAAGUAAUUUAUUUUUUUAAAUUUUU